RNAcentral lists this ribosomal RNA (735 nucleotides) under uncultured bacterium. Its description in RNAcentral is "bacterial SSU rRNA". It matches the Rfam family "Archaeal small subunit ribosomal RNA", at positions 21 to 765 of the family's 1478-position model. The record is from RNAcentral.
CCUGACUGCUAUCGGAUUGAUACUAAGCCAUGCGAGUCAUUGCAGUAAUGCAAGGCAGAUGGCUCAGUAACGCGUAGUCAACCUACCCUAUGGACGGGAAUAACCUCGGGAAACUGAGUAUAAUGCCCGAUAGAACACUAUACCUGGAAUGGUUUGUGUUCCAAAUGAAUGUCGCCGUAGGAUGGGACUGCGGCCUAUCAGUUUGUUGGUGAGGUAAUGGCCCACCAAGACUAUUACAGGUACGGGCUCUGAGAGGAGUAGCCCGGAGAUGGGUACUGAGACACGGACCCAGGCCCUAUGGGGCGCAGCAGGCGAGAAAACUUUGCAAUGUGCGAAAGCACGACAAGGUUAAUCCGAGUGGUUUGUGCUAAACGAACCUUUUGACAGUCCUAGAAACACUGUUGAAUAAGGGGUGGGCAAGUUCUGGUGUCAGCCGCCGCGGUAAAACCAGCACCUCAAGUGGUCAGGAUGAUUAUUGGGCCUAAAGCAUCCGUAGCCGGCUCUGUAAGUUUUCGGUUAAAUCUGUACGCUCAACGUACAGGCUGCCGGGAAUACUGCAGAGCUAGGGAGUGGGAGAGGUAGACGGUACUCGGUAGGAAGGGGUAAAAUCCUUUGAUCUAUUGAUGACCACCUGUGGCGAAGGCGGUCUACCAGAACACGUCCGACGGUGAGGGAUGAAAGCUGGGGGAGCAAACCGGAUUAGAUACCCGGGUAGUCCCAGCUGUAACUAUGCAA